GGGGAUUUAACUCAGUGGUAGAGUGCUUGCCUAGCAAGCACAAGGCCCUGGGUUCGGUCCCCAGCUCCG
This 69-nucleotide transfer RNA is filed under the name Rattus norvegicus (Norway rat). It matches the Rfam family "tRNA". From Rfam's summary of the family: Transfer RNA (tRNA) molecules are approximately 80 nucleotides in length. Their secondary structure includes four short double-helical elements and three loops (D, anti-codon, and T loops). Lineage: Eukaryota; Metazoa; Chordata; Mammalia; Rodentia; Muridae. The record is from Rfam by way of RNAcentral.